GAUACAUCUCGGGAUAUUACAAAAUCCCGCGAUAGGACAGAUUAUCUCGCGAGAUAGUGGUCACGUCACGCGUUCUUCCGGAAGUUCACAUUCAAACACGAGGAGCGGUUACGAGGGAGUUUUGUCUAUAUAUUAUGCAAAAUCUACUGUUGGGAAAAGCAGAACCUCAUCCAAAUAAAAAUAAACAAGCUGUUAAAGGCACUGUGUCCUACACAGACCCUCCAAAAUAUAACCACCCAAAACCCAAGUCAGUUGAAGAUCAACACAAACCAAAUAAAGAUGCGCAUUCUACAAACGAUAAAAAAAGAUCAAGUUUUGUGUCCAACACACUUGGAUGAGACGUGCCCAACCCCUGACUUUGUCUACCCUACAUUAAGUUGCACACUUCAUGACAGUAAACAUCGGUAUCAAGAUGGUGUGAUUGAUCUAUACCCUAGAAUAACUGUGACACUAUGAGACGUACGUGCUACUGAUACUUUUGUUAUUUUUUUGGUGCAUUUCCACACUAUACAAACACAUUGCUUGGCUCCUAAGUGCAUACACUUUUGCCUUUAUAAUGUCAUUCUCAUUUUUAGGUAAAAAUGUAUUUCAUGAGUCAGGGUUUUGCCUGAAUGUCAACAUAAUAUCCCAAAACUUUGAUAUAAAAAGUGAUUUAUUUUAAUAUUUUACACUACUAUGUAUUUUUUAAAAUACAUUGUGCAUGUGUAUGUUUAUUGUA
Paramisgurnus dabryanus is the source of this 718-nucleotide long non-coding RNA. RefSeq lists it as uncharacterized. Lineage: Eukaryota; Metazoa; Chordata; Actinopteri; Cypriniformes; Cobitidae. The record is from RefSeq and is a predicted model, not a curated record.